RNAcentral lists this ribosomal RNA (246 nucleotides) under uncultured bacterium. Its description in RNAcentral is "partial 16S ribosomal RNA". It matches the Rfam family "Bacterial small subunit ribosomal RNA", at positions 86 to 334 of the family's 1533-position model. The record is from RNAcentral.
AGAUGGCGACCGGCGCACGGGUGAGUAACACGUAUCCAACCUGCCGAUAACUCGGGGAUAGCCUUUCGAAAGAAAGAUUAAUACCCGAUGGUAUAAUCAGACCGCAUGGUUUGAUUAUUAAAGAAUUUCGGUUAUCGAUGGGGAUGCGUUCCAUUAGGCAGUUGGUGAGGUAACGGCUCACCAAACCUCGAUGGAUAGGGGUUCUGAGAGGAAGGUCCCCCACAUUGGAACUGAGACACGGUCCAA